Phyllostomus discolor (pale spear-nosed bat) is the source of this 6856-nucleotide long non-coding RNA. RefSeq lists it as uncharacterized. Lineage: Eukaryota; Metazoa; Chordata; Mammalia; Chiroptera; Phyllostomidae. The transcript has 2 exons. The record is from RefSeq and is a predicted model, not a curated record.
UGCUUUUCCACUGGAAAAAAAUAGUUAAUAAAAUGGCAGCCAUUAUUUGGUAACUGCCCCCCAAAUAGCUCUGCUAACACAAAAAUAUAAUUUUGAUUGAGUCUAUACCAUCCACUGUAACAAAGAUUUUUCUAAAAGCCCACGUGAAAACUUCAGCUAAAAGAUUUUAAUAAUCUUAUAGAAAGAAGUCAUCAACAUUUUUCUGAUGAUUCUGCCAGUAAGGGCAUGCUCCUUGGGGAGACCUUGGGACCACAGUUAUAAACAAAAGUCAUUUAAUGUCUUGAGGCACAGCCUAAGCUCAAACUGACAGCACAGUGUCCAGAUGGCGGGCACCUGGGCAGGGAGGAGGAACCUCCAAUGCUCAGGCAUGUCACAGGACAUUGGUAAAUGACAUCUCUUUGUUCACAGCAGAUGCUGAAGCUUCCAAACGUGGUGGUAAAUUAACACUCCCCCUCCACCCUUCUCAGUUCACUCAUGCUGAAGAGUGUUUUUCACCUUUUGAAAUCCAUCUAAUUUGAAGUAAAUGAAUAGUUUUCUGCACUAAUAACAUGAAACAUAUGAGAGUCAGUUUAUAGCAGUUACAAGUUUAGUAAUUACUGAAGUAAAAGGACUAGAAGAGUAAUCACAGUUAAUAUGAGAUUAAUUGAGCUGUACCUGGAGCAGAGAAAAUUUUUCAGUAGAGUACUGAGAGUCCCUCUUUCAAAUGUGAAACCAUAAAAUGCUGAUAUCAUGUAACUAUCUAGUUAGUAACAUAAGGCAAGUGGAGAAAGUGGGAGGAAAAGGCCUGCUUUUAAUGAAUGUCUACUAUGUGCCGGACACUAUAUAUAUAAAAAUUAAAGCUUCAAAACCCCCUUAUUUUGGUAGAAAUUAAUCAACCCCCAAUUUAUAGAUGGUGACAUUGGGAACCAGAGAGAUGUAUACUCAGUGCCUGUACUUUCCACGGGGCCACAUUUCCUGAGGAACAAACAUGCAUUCACCACAAAGAGCUUCUCAUGCUGUGAACCCUUUCUCAAGUCUCUUCUAAUUUCUUAAUUUUUUUCUCUAUGCACUUUUCUUCAGAUGUUACAGAAAUGCUAAUAUAUGCCCUUUUCAAGAUUUCUGCUUCUAUUAGAUCAAAAUCAUGAUGUUUAAAUGCCUACUAUCAUUUAAAUUACAGAGUUAUGCUAGUCUCUGUUUUCUUUACCAAGUGCUAUUCUUUUUAGUUCUUAAUGCAAUAUAAUAGCCUUGUAUUUUCUUGAGGUAAAAGGUUUCUGAUUCAUUUAGGUGUGUCCAGGUACCUAACAAUGUCAAAUAAAAAGGUAUCAUCUAUGCUAUUGAUAAUCUCACAGAUUUAUUCUUGGUCUUAAAGAAAAUAAAACCUCUACAGCUAUUCAAAAAAAAUCAACAUCCUUAUUGACUACAAACAACGACAGAGCUGAAUCUUGUCAAUUUGGACAUUAAAAGCAAGGCAACCUUGUGUUGACCAAAAAAAAUUGUGUUGAAUUUGAUGUGGCUGAGCCAAUAAACAUCUCAAUCGAGAUGCAAUUAAACUCACUCCAAGUUACCUGCAGUGAUAUCUUGCAUAGAAGGUAGAAUAGCAAGGGAGAAGGUAUUUAUUAAAAUAAAAAGCAUCUUAUCCCAGAGAGGAGUUUGGAGAUUCUUACUAUAUUUUGUAACACUAGAACUCCCUUUCAGUUCAAAGUAUGUGUUUGACAGAUCCCUAAAGUAGCAACUAAAGACAGAAAGAAAUCAACAAAAAGGUAAAUCAAGUUGCAAUGGGCUGAAUGUUGUCCCUGCAAAAGCCAUGUAUUGAAGCCCUAACCUCAGAAUGUGACUAUUUGGAGAACAGGGUCUUUAAAGAUGUAAUGAGGUUAAAAAUGGGGUCACUAAAGUGGGCCCUAACCCACAGGUCCAUAUAAGAAGAGGAGAUCAGGACACGGACAAUGGGCACACACUGUGACAAGAUCAUGUGCACUCACAGCAAGGAGGCAGCUAUCUCUCUGAAAGCCACGGACAGAAGCCUCGGAAAAAAACAAACUUGUCAACAGCUUGAUCUUGAAUUUCUAACCUCCAGAACUGAAAGAAAAUAAUUUUUUGUUGUGUCAGCCACCCAGUCUGUGGUAUUUUAUUACGGCAGCCCUAGAAAAUUAAUACACAAAUCCUGGACAUUUCUUGGAGAAGAAUAUGCUGAUGAAGUGGUAGAAGCUAUAUAGAGCUUUGUUUGUAGUAGUGAGAAAAUUUUAUCUCGAAUCGUUUUUUACAAACAAAACUCUAGAGACUAUUAUCUACUUCUCCAAACCAACAAACUAAUGCAACAAGAGAUUUUGUGGUGAGAGGGCAUUGGAAUCAAAAGCAAAAACCAUGUGUCAGAGCUUUUAUCCUGACACCACCUGGAAGGCUGUGGGCCAGGUACUGGGAGGGGAUGAAGGUAAAAAGAAGAUGCAAGGAAAAUGAAGAGAAGCUCAGAGUCCAGGGGAGGAGCCAGACACUUGGAUAACUAUCAAAUGAAGCCAAAAGUUGAAGUAUAUGGUAUAAGCAAAGGGUCAUGGGAACAACAGGUAGAUUAUAAUUAAUUUCAAGUAAAGCUAUCCAAAAAGUACAAUCAAUAAGUGAGAGACUGCAGUCCACUCUAAAGUCCCUUUUAAGUGCAAAAUUCUAUGACUCUGAAAUCCCUCUGCUGUAAUGACUUUGAUGGUUAAUAAUGGUCAGAAUGAGAACUCAAACACAUGACCAGGUAUGCUCAGUAUAAGCUUUUCCUGCUCUUCUAGCUAUAAGAUAACAAAACUGCCUGGACAAGUCGAUCAAGCCUCUUAUCAAAUGACUCUGUGUGUGUGUGUGUGUGUCUGUCUUAAGGUCAUAAGAGUGAUAUGGAGGAAAUUCAGUUUUUAUAAUUAAAAUAAUUUUGCAGUAAAAAUAAUAGACCACAUUAAUUCAGAUUCAUUCUAAGCAGUGAAAGCAACCUUGAAUUAAGUACCAAAGGGAAGGGAAUGUAUUCAUCUUAUUCUCCAUCACAAGUUCAAAGCCUAGCACCUUAUUGGCACAUGGAACGUAUUCAACAAAUGUUUUUUACAUGAAUGGAUAAACAUAUUUUCCAACAGAUGAUAAUGUAAUAUUUAUGGGAAGAAAACAUCUUGAAAAUUCAGCUCUAGAAAUACCCUAACUCAUCUAGCAGCUAGAUGAAUGUUUUAGUAAGCAGGUUGCAUGGUUUUGACAUUAGAACAUAUGGGUUUCAAGCCUUUCUGCAUUCAAUAGUUGGGUAACCUAUACUGUGUCCCUAUAUCUCUCAGACUCCCCAUCACUAUUGGUCCAUUGCGGUCAGUGAUACCAAUAAUUCUCCAUAUCACUGAUUGUUAUGAAGAUCAAAUAAAAUAAUGUGCAUGAAAAUUCCUUAAAAACAAAAGUGAGAGGAAUGUAACAAAUGUACAAUUAGGCGGUCUGUAUGUUGCAAAGAGUUCCACCAUCUCUCUUGCAGCUCAACAUUCAGAGAUAGAAAUUGACUUGCACUGUAGAUACUUCGGAAGAGCACUGAACUAUAAAAAAUAAAUGUUGAAAAAUAAAGAAGAAUGUCAUGAGUUUAGACAAGUCAGAAGUGGAAAAGUCCGUUGACGCCUGCCCCAGCAACAUUCUACUUUGCACAACAUGUCUGUCCCAUUCAUAGAACCAGCCAAAAGUAAUUUGUUUUUCAGUAAAUCCUCAUUUCCAAUAUUCUGGAUGGCCUCUGGCAGAAAAUGUUAUAUAGCUGUAAAAGGCAAUUCUUCAUCAGGCCAUUUUAAGAUUUUGCCUGUCCUAGCUACUUAAUUUUGGAAGCUGCAUCCUAUAUUCUAUCAAAAAUUAAAAUGUACCCACAUCCCAUAUUCGAUAUAAUUCAAAUCCAACUCUAGAUGAGUUGUAUUACAGUUUGGUGGCCAAUAUAGUAAAUACCAUAUUGAUAAAUGUUUAUUAUCUUGCAUUUUAUCAUUUUCAUUCAUCUUUUAACACUAGUAAUUUUGUUCAAGUCCCAUAAAUAUUGAGUAGACCCUUGAAAAACAAGUAGUACUCACGGUCUAGACCCAUGGUGGUAACAGAUAAUACAGCCCUGUCUUUCAUAAUUAUCCAAUUAGUCACUUUGUAUAAUUGUACUGGAUUUUGAGAAGGGAGAAAAAGUCCUCACUGGCUGUUUCCCAGUAAUCUUUGCCCACAAGUCUAUUUUCCCCACCUGCUAUGUUUGCCUAAGACCGGUCAUUUGUUACCUGCUAGUUCCAAUUGAUUUCCUUUGCCUUUGCCUCCUUUAGCCAUGAGUGCAAAGAACAGACUGUACGAUUUAUACCAGCCAUCUAGUACCAAUCAUUAGAUAACAAGACCCUUUACUGAAAGCAUUUAGAGUAAAACAAUACUUUAAGUUUACCUUUGCUUUCAUUUCCUUCUUUAUUACACUAGGUUCAAAGUGAGGCCAAAAAUGGUAUCACAAGGCCUGUUUAGACAUCCAAGCAAAGAAUGCCAAGUCAUUCUAAAUAAAUCCCUAGGCUCCAAUAGAAUUUUAUGCGUUUUCAAGUGCAAGUUUCCAAUAACAUUUUUGGGUUUGGUUUUCCUCUUGUUUGUUUCAGUCACUGUCUUUACAUAUAAGGGGAAAUGAGUCAUAUUAAAUUAUGCCCCAGCAAGUGUCUUAUGGAGUUAUAUCUAAGCCAUCCUGUUUGCUAAUAAAAAGAUAAGAUUUGUCCUCUGAAAGAAGCAGGCUUGGACUACACCAAAGAGCUCACAGCAGUGUUAGACAAUCCCAAAGUCAUUAGCUGGUGGGGGCAUCUGAACUUGUGCCCUUGCCUCAAGUGGGAGGGGUAGGAAGGGAGUAGCAGGGAUCUGUCAGUCUUGGAAACUCAGGCCCAUGACAAAGAUCCUGAGAACUUCCUACGGUUACCAAGAGGCUGCAGUACAUUGCAUAGUUUUCUUGAUAAUUAUUUUCUAAAGUUGGUGCUGCCUACUGGCUCAUCAUUGCUGGUAGAACAUUACCAAGACCCAUGUCUUCCAGAAUCACAGGACUCUAAGAUCCAUACAGAAGAAAUAAAGGUUUCUACACCAGAUGCAAGGGGGAAAGUCUGUAUUUCAAACUUUGAGCUCAAGUUGACCUCUCUAAUGUGUAACCCCCCAAAGAGAUUUCCUGAUUUCCUCACCUGAUUAGCCUCAAAGUCAUACAAACCAAUUCCAAUAUUUGCCAAGGUAAAUGCAAUUAGGUGGAAUAGUCUGCCACAAAUCUUAAAGCCAAAUACACAUGGUUUUGAGAUAUUCAGAUGAUCCUAUUUGGGGUAUUCUGUUCAUUAGCAUGGAUUAGUGCCUAUAUAUAAUCGCCUACAAGGGUCAAGCACAGAAUGUAAAUGCAGUAUAAGGCAAAAUCACAUGGUAAAGAUAGAGAAACCGGAGAGGCCAUGCCCCAUCUAAGAGAGCAGCUGCUGUUCAGCCAUGGCUGAUUGCUGGCAGGUAGAAUGGUGUCCUGGCAUGGCCAGCGAGUCUGACACUUCAAGACAAGCCAUAAAUCUGGAUUUUUGUGUGAGGUUUCCCUGUCUGAGUUUUUUAUAUAUUGUGUUCACCUAGCCUGUGUAUGUCUGCGAGUCACAGGUAGCCCAGGGCGCAAAGAGUCUGAGGACUGGUGUGAAUCCUAAUUAAUUCUUCCAUUUGGCAUGAAUGACAAUGACAGCACCAAGUCAUUCUUUUGUUUUCGUUAUUUAAUUUAGCCUUUGCUGACCUCAAAGAGUUACUAAAGAAUAUUCAACAACGAGGAAGUGUGGAGUGGAACAAGAUCUAUGAAACAGCAAAGUAGAUAUCAAAGUAAAACACACACCACACACACAUUCCUCAUUCAAAAUUACCAGAAAAACUUUAAACUAUGAAUGUUCGUCAUAUGGAUAAGUUAUUUCAACCGUAUAGAUUUUUUAAAGUCCUGUUAAGUGAUGUACCUAUUUCAUCUAUUUUCUUUACUAUUGAAUUUUUUAAAAUACGUGCACAGUGAGGUGACCUUUAUAUCAAAGACCACAAACAAUGUUUAAAGAUAUGCAGCACCUUCUUAAAGAAACACACACAUUCUUAUAAGCAUAGUUAAAAGGGGAAAGGUUAAAGGCUAUACUAGAUUGUUCUAUUCUGUGCCAAGAUUCUGCUCCAGCUGCAACCAAAUAGUGGUUCUCAGGCUUAAUUAAAUAAAGACCUGUGUAAAUUCUAACUGUUUACUAUGUGAUUAGAACUUCUCUGGGCAAAAAGCUCAUAUUUGAUUUCCUUGUUGUCUGCACUUGCCCAAACCCUUUACCCACCAGGUAUGUACUGAAGCUGUGUAAACUCCACAUUUUUCUUUUGGAAUCAAGGGUAAGAUAUAAAAGUUUAUAGAAACAGUGAAACCCAAUUGUGGAAAAUUCAUUUUAUGUGAAUGAAAAAAAAAUAGUCUAUAUAAUUACAACCAAUGUUGUCAUGAUGAAAUUUCUCCUGGUAACAUGGAGAGCAGUAGUUCUUAACCUUUGCAUAACAGUCGUCUGGGUGCCUGUUAAAAACACCACUACCCAGGCCCCAUCCCGGAGGUUUGGAGGUUCUCUGCGACUAUGAGUGAGACCUCCCAAAGUGAUUUGAAUGCUGGCGAUCCAAGGACCACGUUUGGAGAGGCAUCAAUCCAGAGAAAAACCCUACUCCAAGCUGAACAUAGGAGAACUGUUAUCUGAAUUCAUUUUGGGAAAAAACAUGGUUUUAGUCUUAUUAAUGAGAUGUGGUCAUGGCAGGAAUACCCUCUUCAAACAGGAAUAGCCUUUUCAGUUUCAAAACUUAGCUAAUAAUUCAUUUUAUCUUUUAAUAUUUUCAAAAUUCAGUGUAUAUAAAUAAUUAACAUCAUCUACUAGUAUUUUUUAAUUCAGUUCAUUUAAAAAUCAUA